This 432-nucleotide ribosomal RNA is filed under the name uncultured bacterium. RNAcentral's name for it is "bacterial SSU rRNA". It matches the Rfam family "Bacterial small subunit ribosomal RNA", at positions 338 to 787 of the family's 1533-position model. The record is from RNAcentral.
CCUACGGGGGGCAGCAGUGGGGAAUAUUGCACAAUGGGGGAAACCCUGAUGCAGCGACGCCGCGUGAGUGAAGAAGCGCCUCGGCGCGUAAAGCUCUGUCAGCAGGAACGAUAAUGACGGUACCUGAAGAAGAAGCCCCGGCUAACUACGUGCCAGCAGCCGCGGUAAUACGUAGGGGGCAAGCGUUAUCCGGAUUUACUGGGUGUAAAGGGAGCGUAGACGGCGGGGCAAGUCUGGAGUGAAAGGCCGGGGCCCAACCCCGGGACCGCUCUGGAAACUGCCCGGCUGGAGUGCGGGAGAGGUAAGCGGAAUUCCUAGUGUAGCGGUGAAAUGCGUAGAUAUUAGGAGGAACACCAGCGGCGAAGGCGGCUUACUGGACCGUGACUGACGUUGAGGCUCGAAAGCGUGGGGAGCAAACAGGAUUAGAUACCC